UGUAUCUGAAGCCUGACGAGGAUGAGAACCUCCGGGGGCAAGAGGUUCGACCCGAGCGCAGCGAGAGAACGUUGCUUCAGCAACGGCCCGCAGGGCGAGCCACGCAGUGGCGAGUCAUCCUCUAUCACCGACCA
Molecule: small RNA, 134 nt
Filed under: Salmonella enterica subsp. enterica serovar Infantis
Lineage: Bacteria; Pseudomonadati; Pseudomonadota; Gammaproteobacteria; Enterobacterales; Enterobacteriaceae
Also listed under: 30 other names
Description: RtT sRNA
Rfam family: RtT RNA
About the family: This family represents a bacterial cis-regulatory element known as RtT RNA.
Source: RNAcentral